GGAAAUCGCACAUGAAGGCAGCAUCAGUGCAGUUAUAGAGAAGGAUUUACUAAAGCAGUUCUCCUCGAGACAGUUUAUCAGGACAUAAAGUUAUACUAGGAGAUCUACUUGGAGAAUUUUUUGCGAUCAAUAAAAUGAUUGUAUAAGUGUAUUUGUGAAGUACAUUGCAAGUUUUUGUCAGUAUCUAAUGUCAGACAGUUCUGACAGUGUUUGUAUUUGUCUGUUCAUUUUUGUUUGUAUUGUUUUGUCUGAUUUGUCCCGGACAGAUUUAAAGUGUCUGUUUGCAGGAAAGGGGAGAGCGCCCGUGAGCUGCUGAACGAUAAGCAGCACAUCGCGGAUCAGAAAUCACGUUACCUUUCGUACGAGACGGUGGUGGACGAGAUCCCGGUGGAACCUGGGGACGGGGGGGGACAGUUUGGACUAUGAGGACGAGUACGACGACACUUACGACAUCAACCAGGUGGGAGCCAACGACCGGGACCAGGACAGUCUGCUCAGGUGGAGGCCCUUCACCGUCCCUCAGAUCCUCCGUCAGGGACAGAGAGCAGAGGAAGAGGAGGAGAGUGAGGAGGAGGCGGGAGAGGAGCGAGCUGCUCAGAAUAACGUCCACCGGGACCAGUUUGUGCAGGAUCCGCCGUGCUGCGAGAGAGAGCAGAGGCGAGGCGGGCCGCUAUGCAGCACAAGAGAGGGUAAAGAGACUAACACUAACACGUGAGGAGAGGGUAAAAGAACCCAACAGAGGGAGGGUAAGAGCUCGCAC
RNAcentral lists this long non-coding RNA (760 nucleotides) under Neogobius melanostomus (round goby). RNAcentral's name for it is "lncRNA (ENSNMLG00000005247.1)". The record is from RNAcentral. Lineage: Eukaryota; Metazoa; Chordata; Actinopteri; Gobiiformes; Gobiidae.